Molecule: ribosomal RNA, 253 nt
Filed under: uncultured bacterium
Lineage: Bacteria
Description: partial 16S ribosomal RNA
Rfam family: Bacterial small subunit ribosomal RNA
Source: RNAcentral
UACAGAGGGUGCAAGCGUUGUUCGGAAUCACUGGGCUUAAAGCGUGCGUAGGCGGUUCAGCAAGUUGGGUGUGAGAUGCCUCGGCUCAACCGAGGAAUUGCGCCCAAAACUACUGGGCUUGAGGGAGUUAGAGGUGAGCGGAACUCACGGUGGAGCGGUGAAAUGCGUUGAUAUCGUGAGGAACACCGGAGGCGAAAGCGGCUCACUGGGGCUUCACUGACGCUGAGGCACGAAAGCUAGGGGAGCAAACGGG